RNAcentral lists this ribosomal RNA (625 nucleotides) under uncultured Peptostreptococcaceae bacterium. RNAcentral's name for it is "bacterial SSU rRNA". It matches the Rfam family "Bacterial small subunit ribosomal RNA", at positions 94 to 738 of the family's 1533-position model. The record is from RNAcentral. Lineage: Bacteria; Bacillati; Bacillota; Clostridia; Peptostreptococcales; Peptostreptococcaceae.
AGCGGCGGACGGGUGAGUAACGCGUGGGUAACCUGCCCUAUACACAUGGAUAACAUACUGAAAAGUUUACUAAUACAUGAUAAUAUAUAUUUGCGGCAUCGCAGAUAUAUCAAAGUGUUAGCGGUAUAGGAUGGACCCGCGUCUGAUUAGCUAGUUGGUGAGAUAACUGCCCACCAAGGCGACAAUCAGUAGCCGACCUGAGAGGGUGAUCGGCCACAUUGGAACUGAGACACGGUCCAAACUCCUACGGGAGGCAGCAGUGGGGAAUAUUGCACAAUGGGCGAAAGCCUGAUGCAGCAACGCCGCGUGAACGAUGAAGGUCUUCGGAUCGUAAAGUUCUGUUGCAGGGGAAGAUAAUGACGGUACCCUGUGAGGAAGCCCCGGCUAACUACGUGCCAGCAGCCGCGGUAAUACGUAGGGGGCUAGCGUUAUCCGGAUUUACUGGGCGUAAAGGGUGCGUAGGUGGUCCUUCAGGUCGGUGGUUAAAGGCUACGGCUCAACCGUAGUAAGCCGCCGAAACUGGAGGACUUGAGUGCAGGAGAGGAAAGUGGAAUUCCCAGUGUAGCGGUGAAAUGCGUAGAUAUUGGGAGGAACACCAGUAGCGAAGGCGGCUUUCUGGACUGCA